This 301-nucleotide ribosomal RNA is filed under the name uncultured bacterium. Its description in RNAcentral is "partial 16S ribosomal RNA". It matches the Rfam family "Bacterial small subunit ribosomal RNA", at positions 509 to 808 of the family's 1533-position model. The record is from RNAcentral.
CAGCAGCCGCGGAAUACAGAGGGUGCGAGCGUUAAUCGGAUUUACUGGGCGUAAAGCGUGCGUAGGCGGCUUCUUAAGUUGGAUGUGAAAUCCCUGAGCUUAACUUAGGAAUUGCAUUCGAUACUGGGAAGCUAGAGUAUGGGAGAGGAUGGUAGAAUUCCAGGUGUAGCGGUGAAAUGCGUAGAGAUCUGGAGGAAUACCGAUGGCGAAGGCAGCCAUCUGGCCUAAUACUGACGCUGAGGUACGAAAGCAUGGGGAGCAAACAGGAUUAGAUACCCCGGUAGUCCCUGUCUCUUAUACA